Sander lucioperca (pikeperch) is the source of this 134-nucleotide long non-coding RNA. RefSeq lists it as uncharacterized. The transcript has 3 exons. NCBI's taxonomy places the organism in Eukaryota, Metazoa, Chordata, Actinopteri, Perciformes, Percidae. The record is from RefSeq and is a predicted model, not a curated record.
AUGCUAUUUUCCAAUAAACUGUAGCUGUCAUAUUUCACGGGACCCGCGUGAGUGCGGAUUUCAUGUCGCGGCUUUCGUCGCUGUUUGUCACUUUGCCUUAGAUUGAGUGACAAGUGUACUCUCUCAAUUUUAGC